RNAcentral lists this ribosomal RNA (116 nucleotides) under uncultured bacterium. RNAcentral describes it as "partial 16S ribosomal RNA". It matches the Rfam family "Bacterial small subunit ribosomal RNA", at positions 1358 to 1482 of the family's 1533-position model. The record is from RNAcentral.
UACGGUGAAUACGUUCCCGGACCUUGCACACACCGCCCGUCAAGCCAUGGAAGCCGGGUGUACCUAAAGUCGGUAACCGCAAGGAACCGCCUAGGGUAAAACUGGUGACUGGGGCU